Molecule: ribosomal RNA, 482 nt
Filed under: uncultured bacterium
Lineage: Bacteria
Description: bacterial SSU rRNA
Rfam family: Bacterial small subunit ribosomal RNA
Source: RNAcentral
GACGAACGCUGGCGGCGUGCUUAACACAUGCAAGUCGAACGGAGUUCCUACGAAUUGAAGCUUCGGCAGAUUUUUGUUUGAACUUAGUGGCGGACGGGUGAGUAACGCGUGAGGAACCUGCCUCUCAGAGGGGGACAACAGUUGGAAACGACUGCUAAUACCGCAUAAUGCAUUUUGAUCGCAUGAUCGGGAUGCCAAAGAUUUAUCGCUGAGAGAUGGCCUCGCGUCUGAUUAGAUAGUUGGUGGGGUAACGGCCUACCAAGUCGACGAUCAGUAGCCGGACUGAGAGGUUGACCGGCCACAUUGGGACUGAGACACGGCCCAGACUCCUACGGGAGGCAGCAGUGGGGAAUAUUGCGCAAUGGGGGGCAACCCUGACGCAGCAACGCCGCGUGAAGGAAGAAGGUCUUCGGAUUGUAAACUUUUGUCUUUAGGGAAGAAUAAUGACGGUACCUAAGAAGGAAGCUCCGGCUAACUACGUG